RNAcentral lists this ribosomal RNA (389 nucleotides) under uncultured bacterium. RNAcentral's name for it is "bacterial SSU rRNA". It matches the Rfam family "Bacterial small subunit ribosomal RNA", at positions 28 to 417 of the family's 1533-position model. The record is from RNAcentral.
GACGAACGCUGGCGGCGUGCUUAACACAUGCAAGUCGAGCGGUAAGGCCCUUUCGGGGGUACGACGAGCGGCGAACGGGUGAGUAACACGUGGGUGACCUGCCCUCAGCUCUGGGAUAAGCCUGGGAAACCGGGUCUAAUACUGGAUAUGACUCCAUGACGCAUGUUGUGGGGUGGAAAGCCUUGUGCGGCUGAGGAUGGGCCCGCGGCCUAUCAGCUUGUUGGUGGGGNGAUGGCCUACCAAGGCGACGACGGGUAGCCGGCCUGAGAGGGCGACCGGCCACACUGGACUGAGACACGGCCCAGACUCCUACGGGAGGCAGCAGUGGGGAAGUCUUGCGCAAUGGGCGAAAGCCUGACGCAGCGACGCCGCGUGAGGGAUGACGGCCU